GAUGAACGCUGGCGGCGUGCCUAAUACAUGCAAGUCGAGCGAACGGACGAGAAGCUUGCUUCUCUGAUGUUAGCGGCGGACGGGUGAGUAACACGUGGAUAACCUACCUAUAAGACUGGGAUAACUUCGGGAAACCGGAGCUAAUACCGGAUAAUAUUUUGAACCGCAUGGUUCAAAAGUAAAAGACGGUCUUGCUGUCACUUAUAGAUGGAUCCGCGCUGCAUUAGCUAGUUGGUAAGGUAACGGCUUACCAAGGCAACGAUGCAUAGCCGACCUGAGAGGGGGAUCGGCCACACGGGAACUGAGACACGGUCCAGACUCCUACGGGAGGCAGCAGUAGGGAAUCUUCCGCAAUGGGCGAAAGCCUGACGGAGCAACGCCGCGUGAGUGAUGAAGGUCUUCGGAUCGUAAAACUCUGUUAUUAGGGAAGAACAUAUGUGUAAGUAACUGUGCACAUCUUGACGGUACCUAAUCAGAAAGCCACGGCUAACUACGUG
Molecule: ribosomal RNA, 497 nt
Filed under: uncultured bacterium
Lineage: Bacteria
Description: partial 16S ribosomal RNA
Rfam family: Bacterial small subunit ribosomal RNA
Source: RNAcentral